This 500-nucleotide long non-coding RNA is filed under the name Anser brachyrhynchus (Pink-footed goose). RNAcentral's name for it is "lncRNA (ENSABRG00000010251.1)". Lineage: Eukaryota; Metazoa; Chordata; Aves; Anseriformes; Anatidae. The record is from RNAcentral.
GUUGAAAAAUGUGUUUUCCACUCUUGCAGGUAUCAUUAAGGGGAGCACUGUGUUUAUGGUACCUUUCUGUACUGAUUGGACCAUCUCUAUUGACACAGGUCUUUGCUGAGAAGCUCAGAAAUACCACACUGUCAAAGAGAACAAUGGGAAGAAAUGCCUUCAAAACUCAACUCAUUUGGGAGAAUAUAUUUCAGUGCCUCAGGGCCAUACACAGCAUUCUAUGGCGUAGACUAGUACUGGGGCAUACCCCUCAUAACUCUUGCUUCAGAAAGUCUUCUAUGUAUAUAACACACUCAUACAUGCAUAGAUACACAGAGCACAGCAAGAAUCUAAUAAAAAUAACCAUUAUGAUCUGAUGUCAAACUGAAAUCAUGGAAAAUUUGCUAGAUCUAUGUAUGGAUCCAAAGAAAAUCUCCUGCCACAAGUGAGAAAUAUGUUUAAGACAGAUUCAUUUUUUUGGAAAAAAUAAAUGGAAAAAAAAGAAAAAAAAAGGAGAAAAA